ACGGGCAUAGUUCAAUGGUAGAAUAGCGGUCUCCAAAACCGUUGAUACGGGUUCGAAUCCUGUUGCCCGUGCCA
RNAcentral lists this transfer RNA (74 nucleotides) under Flavihumibacter solisilvae. Its description in RNAcentral is "tRNA-Trp". It matches the Rfam family "tRNA". Rfam says of the family: Transfer RNA (tRNA) molecules are approximately 80 nucleotides in length. RNAcentral also lists the same sequence under 3 other names. Lineage: Bacteria; Pseudomonadati; Bacteroidota; Chitinophagia; Chitinophagales; Chitinophagaceae. The record is from RNAcentral.